Molecule: ribosomal RNA, 253 nt
Filed under: uncultured bacterium
Lineage: Bacteria
Also listed under: 1 other name
Description: partial 16S ribosomal RNA
Rfam family: Bacterial small subunit ribosomal RNA
Source: RNAcentral
UACGAAGGGUGCAAACGUUGCUCGGAAUUAUUGGGCGUAAAGCGCACGUAGGCGGCUUAGCAAGUCGGAAGUGAAAGCCCUUGGCUCAACCAAGGAAGUGCUUUCGAAACUGCUGAGCUUGAGUAGUUAAGAGGAUCGCGGAAUUCCCGGUGUAGAGGUGAAAUUCGUAGAUAUCGGGAGGAACACCAGUGGCGAAGGCGGCGAUCUGGGAACAUACUGACGCUGAGGUGCGAAAGCGUGGGGAGCAAACAGG